GAUGAACGCUGGCGGCGUGCCUAAUACAUGCAAGUCGAGCGAACGGAUGAGAAGCUUGCUUCUCUGAUGUUAGCGGCGGACGGGUGAGUAACACGUGGAUAACCUACCUAUAAGACUGGGAUAACUUCGGGAAACCGGAGCUAAUACCGGAUAAUAUUUUGAACCGCAUGGUUCAAAAGUGAAAGACGGUCUUGCUGUCACUUCUAGAUGGAUCCGCGCUGCAUUAGCUAGUUGGUAAGGUAACGGCUUACCAAGGCAACGAUGCAUAGCCGACCUGAGAGGGUGAUCGGCCACACUGGAACUGAGACACGGUCCAGACUCCUACGGGAGGCAGCAGUAGGGAAUCUUCCGCAAUGGGCGAAAGCCUGACGGAGCAACGCCGCGUGAGUGAUGAAGGUCUUCGGAUCGUAAAACUCUGUUAUUAGGGAAGAACAUAUGUGUAAGUAACUGUGCACAUCUUGACGGUACCUAAUCAGAAAGCCACGGCUAACUACGUG
RNAcentral lists this ribosomal RNA (497 nucleotides) under uncultured bacterium. Its description in RNAcentral is "partial 16S ribosomal RNA". It matches the Rfam family "Bacterial small subunit ribosomal RNA", at positions 28 to 507 of the family's 1533-position model. The record is from RNAcentral.